AACAUGGUCCAGAAUCCCAUUGACCCAAUUUGAUUUAACGAAAUUGCCCAUGGAAAUAAGUACAUUGCUUCUAAAUCAAAAAUAAUGAACAGAAUUGCAACUAAAUAAAAUCGAACAUCAAACGCUUGUCGAGCGUCUUCGUAGGGAUCGAAACCACAUUCGUAAGGCGAAAGUUUUUCGGUGUCGGGUUUGUGAAUUGCUAACACGUACGACAACCCAAAAAUUACGCCUGAAAGAACAAUACUGAUCCCUAAAAAAAUCAAUACUGGUGAAUAUUCCUGAAUAAAUAAAGAGUUCAUAAUAAUAGUAUUAUUUCUCAAAUCCUUUCAACAUGGAUGCUAAAAGGUUUUAGUUUGCAACGGUAAGAUUUGCGCUUACGCCUUUCGGCCAACUCUAGUGUUCGUUGCCGGUAAAACGACCACAAAGGUCAUUACUAAUAUUAAGGUAAAAAACUUUGAAAACCCAUCCCAUUUUGAUUUGCAAGAGGGCAGUACGAAACCUAUCAAAAAUCGCUCUAACUUAAGGUAAAAAGGUCGAAAAACGCACGGUUCGACACAUAUUUAAAAAGGAUUAGAGCGUACCUGAAAUUUUUGAAUUUAGAUCCACGCGGUAAGCAAGUUCCAAAGAUCCAACUGCGGUUCUAAGACGCAAUUAAAGUCACCGUCUUUGGGGCUUCCUUUUUGGACUUCUACAGUUGGAGUUUUUGGAGUAGGUAAAUUAGUAGCGGGCGAGGACUUGGGUUGAA
This 745-nucleotide ribosomal RNA is filed under the name Heterosigma akashiwo. RNAcentral describes it as "s-rRNA". The record is from RNAcentral. Lineage: Eukaryota; Raphidophyceae; Chattonellales; Chattonellaceae.